This 253-nucleotide ribosomal RNA is filed under the name uncultured bacterium. RNAcentral describes it as "partial 16S ribosomal RNA". It matches the Rfam family "Bacterial small subunit ribosomal RNA", at positions 524 to 776 of the family's 1533-position model. The record is from RNAcentral.
GACGGAAGGUGCAAGCGUUGCUCGGAAUCACUGGGCGUAAAGGGCUCGUAGGCGGCCAACUAAGUCAGACGUGAAAUCCCUCGGCUUAACCGGGGAACUGCAUCUGAUACUGGAUGGCUUGAGUUCGGGAGAGGGAUGCGGAAUUCCAGGUGUAGCGGUGAAAUGCGUAGAUAUCUGGAGGAACACCGGUGGCGAAGGCGGCAUCCUGGACCGACACUGACGCUGAGGAGCGAAAGCCAGGGGAGCGAACGGG